UACGGAGGGUGCAAGCGUUAUCCGGAUUUACUGGGUUUAAAGGGUGCGCAGGCGGACUAUUAAGUCAGUGGUGAAAGCCCCGGGCUUAACCUGGGAAUUGCCAUUGAUACUGGUGGUCUUGAGUACAGUUGAGGUGGGCGGAAUGCAACAUGUAGCGGUGAAAUGCUUAGAUAUGUUGCAGAACACCGAUUGCGAAGGCAGCUCGCUAAGCUGUUACUGACGCUCAGGCACGAAAGCGUGGGGAUCAAACAGG
Molecule: ribosomal RNA, 253 nt
Filed under: uncultured bacterium
Lineage: Bacteria
Description: partial 16S ribosomal RNA
Rfam family: Bacterial small subunit ribosomal RNA
Source: RNAcentral